GACGAACGCUGGCGGCGUGCUUAACACAUGCAAGUCGAACGGAAAGGCCCUGCUUUUGUGGGGUGCUCGAGUGGCGAACGGGUGAGUAACACGUGAGUAACCUGCCCUUGACUUUGGGAUAACUUCAGGAAACUGGGGCUAAUACCGGAUAGGAGCUCCUGCUGCAUGGUGGGGGUUGGAAAGUUUCGGCGGUUGGGGAUGGACUCGCGGCUUAUCAGCUUGUUGGUGGGGUAGUGGCUUACCAAGGCUUUGACGGGUAGCCGGCCUGAGAGGGUGACCGGCCACAUUGGGACUGAGAUACGGCCCAGACUCCUACGGGGGGCAGCGGUGGGGAAUAUUGCACAAGGGGCGGAAGCCGGAGGCAGCAACGCCGCGUGCGGGAGGACGGCCUUCGGGUUGUAAACCGCUUUCGCCUGUGACGAAGCGUGAGUGACGGUAAUGGGUAAAGAAGCACCGGCUAACUACGU
RNAcentral lists this ribosomal RNA (467 nucleotides) under uncultured bacterium. Its description in RNAcentral is "partial 16S ribosomal RNA". It matches the Rfam family "Bacterial small subunit ribosomal RNA", at positions 28 to 506 of the family's 1533-position model. The record is from RNAcentral.